CAUGUGGUUUAAUUUCGUAUGAUACGCGAGGAACCUUACCUUGGGCUCGAACGUAAGAUGACUGUAGGUGAAAGCUUACAUCUCUUCGGAGCAUUUUACGAGGUGCUGCAUGGUUGUCGUCAGCUCGUGCCGUGAGGUGUCGGGUUAAGUCCCAUAACGAGCGCAACCCCUACCUUAGUUGCCAUCAGGUUAAGCUGGGGACUCUAAAGGAACUGCCUACGCAAGUAGUGAGGAAGCGGGGAUGACGUCAAAUCAGCACGGCCCUUACGUCCAGGGCUACACACGUGCUACAAUGGCCGAUACAGAGGGCAGCUACCUGGUGACAGGAUGCAAAUCUCCAAAGUCGGUCUCAGUUCGGAUCGGAGUCUGCAACCCGACUCCGUGAAGUUGGAUUCGCUAGUAAUCGCGCAUCAGCCAUGGCGCGGUGAAUACGUUCCCGGGCCUU
Molecule: ribosomal RNA, 445 nt
Filed under: uncultured Sphingobacteriales bacterium
Lineage: Bacteria; Pseudomonadati; Bacteroidota; Sphingobacteriia; Sphingobacteriales
Description: bacterial SSU rRNA
Rfam family: Bacterial small subunit ribosomal RNA
Source: RNAcentral